CGGCACCACGGUCGGAUC
Molecule: unclassified non-coding RNA, 18 nt
Filed under: synthetic construct
Source: RNAcentral